UCGGAUGUAGAAAUGGACGGUGAAAAAUUCGAAACACCAAGUCAGGCAGUUGAAACCGUUAAAGUGGAGGACGCCAUUCUUGUUGAGAAAGAGAAGAAGCUGUCCAUUUCUUCUUACAAACAGACCAUAGAAGUGGUGAAGAACGGAGAAGCCCUAGGCUGGGGAAAGAUCAUAGACAUUGUGGUGAAAGCAGAUAUGUUCGGGGUUG
RNAcentral lists this long non-coding RNA (208 nucleotides) under Lathyrus oleraceus (garden pea). RNAcentral describes it as "Pisum sativum (pea) long non-coding RNA (PSAT_LNC040965)". Lineage: Eukaryota; Viridiplantae; Streptophyta; Magnoliopsida; Fabales; Fabaceae. The record is from RNAcentral.